AUGUCCCACUGCUCUGAGCUGCCUCUGCAGCUAAGCACAGCAGCUUGGAGAGAAGACGGGGUGAGAAGCCCCUGGCUUGGUCUCGAAGGCUCACAGGACUUCCCCUCUGUGGCAGAGAGAAGGCAAUCCCUCAGUGGGGCUGCCAGGUCUGCGGGCUCACAACAGUCUCAUCGUCCUUCCUACAAGGGCUCUAUGAGGAUUUCUCCACCUGCUUCUCUGAGUCUGCUGUGCCCCCUCUGCACACCACUCUGGGCCCAGGAAGGUGACCUCUAUGGACUCCCUGCCCCAACUCCCUUUUCCUCCUGCUUGGAGAUCAGUUCACAGUGAGAGGUACCAGUAGGAGCCUGGAACACUGGAGGAAAGAGUGUGGGGUAUGUCAUGCCCCACAAAGAGUGUGGAAGGGUCAUGCCCCUAGCAGGCCGGGACAUGGCAGGCUCUCAGCUCCUCUAGCUGUGCACCACUCCUUUGGCUGCCCCCACCCCAGACUUUACCUAGCCUCAGGCAAUCAGUCCCCUCCCCUGGCCAUGCAUGGAGUCCUUUUCAUGUGGCAGCCGUGUGCCCACUGCUGAGGGCACAGUGGAGGAUAAGAGCUUCCUGAGCUGCUAGUUCCGGGGCACUUCACCGUCCUCUGUGGGCUCUCUCAACCCUACGCGUGCCUUUGUCCAUAGCUCUGCACUGCAUGUGUGUGCUCAGUCACUAAGUUGUGUCCGACUCUCUGCAACUGUAGCCCUCCAGGUUCCUGUGUCUGUGGAAUUCUCCCGGCAAGAAUACUGAAGUGGUUGCCAUGACCUCCUCCAGGGGAUUUUCCUGAUCCAAGGAUCGAACCAGCAUCUCAUGUCUCCUGCAUUAGCAGGUGGGUUCUUUACCACUAGUGCCACCUGGGAAGCUCUGCCUUAAAUGGCUCCACAGCAGACCCCUGCAAUGUCCACUUGGCCCUGCAGCUUUCUCCUCCUACGACCCAGACUCAUUCAGACUCCAGCUGAUUCGCCUCUACUGCUGUGUCCAAGGUGUUCAGUUGGCCUCUGUGAUGGCUCCCUGGCCCCAGUUUCCAGUCUUCCAAGUAGGGAAGUAAUAACCCACAUGCUCUGCUUGUUGUUUAAAAAU
This 1104-nucleotide long non-coding RNA is filed under the name Bos indicus x Bos taurus (hybrid cattle). Its description in RNAcentral is "lncRNA (ENSBIXG00000002451.1)". The record is from RNAcentral. Lineage: Eukaryota; Metazoa; Chordata; Mammalia; Artiodactyla; Bovidae.